Molecule: ribosomal RNA, 493 nt
Filed under: uncultured bacterium
Lineage: Bacteria
Description: partial 16S ribosomal RNA
Rfam family: Bacterial small subunit ribosomal RNA
Source: RNAcentral
GAUGAACGCUAGCGGGAGGCCUAACACAUGCAAGCCGAGCGGUAUUUCUUCUUCGGGAGAGAGAGAGCGGCGUACGGGUGCGGAACACGUGCAACCUGCCUUUAUCUAGAGGAUAGCCUUUCGAAAGGAAGAUUAAUACUCUAUAAUAUAUUAAUUGGCAUCAAUUGAUAUUGAAAACUCCGGUGGAUAGAGAUGGGCACGCGCAAGAUUAGCGAGUUGGUGAGGUAACGGCUCACCAAGGCAAUGAUCUUUAGGGGGCCUGAGAGGGUGAUCCCCCACACUGGUACUGAGACACGGACCAGACUCCUACGGGAGGCAGCAGAGAGGAAUAUUGGUCAAUGGGUGCAAGCCUGAACCAGCCAUCCCGCGUGAAGGAUUAAGGUCCUAUGGAUUGUAAACUUCUUUUGUAUAGGGAUAAACCUACCCUCGUGAGGGUAGCUGAAGGUACUAUACGAAUAAGCACCGGCUAACUCCGUGCCAGCAGCCGCAGUAA